GCUUAGGGAGCUAGUGAGCGGUCUAUUUUGUAAGUAGGAGGUAGCCAGUGGUUAUAUUCUGGCCCUAAGCU
RNAcentral lists this transfer RNA (71 nucleotides) under Ophiarachnella gorgonia. RNAcentral describes it as "tRNA-Thr". Lineage: Eukaryota; Metazoa; Echinodermata; Ophiuroidea; Amphilepidida; Ophiodermatidae. The record is from RNAcentral.